Molecule: long non-coding RNA, 9883 nt
Filed under: Populus trichocarpa (black cottonwood)
Lineage: Eukaryota; Viridiplantae; Streptophyta; Magnoliopsida; Malpighiales; Salicaceae
Description: long non-coding RNA (PTRI_LNC004116)
Source: RNAcentral
UUGAAAUUAGGAGGAGACAACACAAAAGAGAAAAAACCCUAAAAAUGACCUAAACUUAUCUUCUCCAAGGGGGCCGCCGCCGCCCCCAGCUCUGAUUUUGUUCUUCUCUCCCAGCUGGUUCCACCAGCUGCUCCCCCCUCCCGGUCGUUGGUCCUCCUCCCAGCCAAAAACAAACCAAACAGCCCCUUUUGAUUUUCUCUCUUCUCCCUCAACCGGACAGCCUCUCCUCUCUCCCAGCCGCUGCCGCUCACUCUACAUCACAGCCGUUUCCUUCCACUACGGCAGCAACCGAGCAACAUCCCUCACGGACCCAGAUCGGUCCGCCGCUCCUUCCUCCUCUGCUCCUCCAGCCGCUCACAGCAGACGCCCAGCCAAGACCCUCUCCUCAAACAGAUCUUCACCACAGCUUCAACAGCCCCAGCUCGCCAAGAUCAAGCCGGCCGCCCCCUCACCAGGCUCCUCUCCUCUCUCAGGCGACCCAACGGCCUCCCUCUCCGGGUCAACGAACAAACCCGGCACAGCGGCGCCCACAGAACCCAAAUCGGUCCGCCUUCUUCCUCCAGCAGCGCCUGCACACCACCGCGGCCUAACACAGUGGCCUCCCCCUCACAACGGAUCUGCCAUCUGAAGAAAGAGAGAAGCAGAUCCGAAAGAGGAAGAAACAGAUCUAAGGAGAGAAACAGACUUGCUUGUUGCGUUUUGGGUGUUUUGUAGGUAACGGCGUUGUCACCACCAGCAGAGAAGGGAAGAGGAGAUGAAACUGAGCCAGAUCCAUCCGGCUUCCAAGUUUUGUGCGGCGGCGCGUGAACCCACGCGCCGCCAGUGACGGUGGCGCGUGGGAAGACGCGCCACCACUGUUCAUGUUGUUCCAGAAGGGCUUCCCAGCACUGUUAUGGAUUUUUGAGGGGUUAUUUUGUAAUUUUUAAAUUGAUUAAUGUAAUAUUUGUUUAGUUUGAAUUUUUAUUUGUAUGUUGUGAAUUUGGAUGUAACAAAAGAAACGAAAAGAAAAGAAAAGAAACAAAAAUAUAGGAAGAGUGAAUGUGUGUGUUUGUAUUUGUUUUUAUUUUUUUAUAUAUAUUUUUUAUGAUGAAAUUGCAAAGAUUAAAGAAGAAUUUAAUAUUUUGAUUGGGUCACGGUAAAGAAUUAUUAACUUAUACAUAAGUUGUAUUUCUAAUAUCCGAUGAAAAAACAAUUAUUAAAACUUCUUUAAACACAUCAAAUUCGCGAAGCAGCUUACCUCAGGUAGGGUGCGUUAGGGGUGCUAAUACCUUCCCUAACCACAACCAGUCCCUUACCCGCGAAUCUCUGAUAAGACCAGUAUAUCCGGUUUCCUAGUAGCCUUCAAUAAAUUACUAGGUGGCGACUCCAACGAAGCAAAUAACGCAACAACAAAAAAAAUCGCCAGCCGAUGCCGCGCGGAUUUUCUGACGUGCGACAGAAUGGCGACUCCACUGGGGAAGGUAUUGUUUCUAACAAUAUUGGACUAAGCUUUGUGUAUUUGAUGUGUUUAAGUUUUUGCAUUUUUGUCUUGUUUUAUUUUUGUUUUAUCCAUGCAUUUUUAGAAUUGUUUCAUGCAUUACUUGUAUUUAUUUUUGAAAGCACACACAAGCUUUUAGGUUAGGUGGGGAAUUAGCGAUCUGCCCUAAGACUAUUGGUCAGGGUUCAGAUGCGUGAAACACCCAACUCAUAUCUGAGUGCCUGCUUGGUAAUGGUGGGUAUAUGUACCUUAACCAUUUCUUGCAACGCCCCUAUACUGUCUGUACGAAGAUCGUCACUGGGCAGAUAUGAGACCCUUUUGAGACCAGAUAGAAAACCUACCCAUGAUCACAUAAUGAAUAGAACCUGUCCUUAGGUUGUAUGUGCUAUUUUUAUUUGCAUCAGGGCAAACUCUUCUUGAAGCAUCUUGAACUCAAGACUUGUGGGUGACCCAAUGGUCGUCACUCAGAAAAUUUUCAUUGUAGAGUUUGGGCAAGAAUCAAGAUUUUUGUUUCAUCAUACAAGAGUUAUGACCAUAUGUCACCCCUCGAAGGGCGAGUUCAUCAUAUAGUUUACAUGUUCAUACAUUUAUCAUGCAUGUACCGGGUUGAAAGAUAGGUUCUCCCACACAAGCUGUGCUACGCGCGAAUGAAGAAAGAUGAUAGAAGCAAGGAAAGUUGUCGGAGAGAGGCUCAUUGUCAAAAGGAAGUUGAGAGCAUCAGAGGUGAAGUAGCUAGAAUCAGAUCUGCUUGAACAAGUGUAGAGCAUCAAAGGGAAAGGGAAUGUCUACACAGUCUUCUGUGGGAACACUGCUUGUCCAUGUCCCAUUGAAGUUACACCUCCUCUUUUCAGUCAUGAAUAAUUGCAGCAAUGCCUUCAGUCAUCAGCUAAUGACAACCUUUGUUCUUGUUCAGUUGCACUGAUAAUUAUUCAUCGCCUCCGUAUCUGCUAAUGGAACCAAAUAACUACUAGUUUCUGUGCAUGGUACAUUAGCCUUCUUUGAAGUUACCCCAACUGUGAGCUCAAUUCCAGUUCAACAGCACAAGAUGUGGAAAAAAAAAUUAAAUAAAAAAAAACUGAAAAAAAAACCAUGAUUAGACACUGAACUUCUACGUUGCAGAGCUCUCUCUGUAGAGAUUUGUUUGUGGAUCUGCCAGUGGGGCAUGCAAGAGGGGAUGCAGUACUUUGACACGCUACAAAAAUUUGUCUCAUCAAUUUCAGCACCAAAACACUGUAGUAGGCAGAAAAGCCAGACUUGAGCUAGAAAACAGGAGCAAAUAUAGAACUUCAUCGUGGCAGAGCUCUCUCUGCAGAAAUCUGUUUGUAGCUCUGCAAGUGGAGAAUCCAAGAAGGGAUGCAGUAGUUUCUGAUCAUCUAUAAUUUUCUCUCAUCAGUGUUAGCUUGAAGAUGCAAAAGUAGGGAAAAGAGACAGACCUCGGCUGAAAAAUAGAAAGAAGAUUGAAACUUCAACAGAGCAGAGCUCCCUCUACAGGUGUCUGUUUGAUGCACCGUCAGUGAGGAAUCAAAGAGGAGACAAAGGAGUUUCAGAUUCAUCAGUUUCUCCUCCAAUAAAAACAAUGCAUCAUUUCACACAUUGACAGUGAUAGCGCUGCAUGAUUCUAUGCGCUGCCAAGAUUACUUAUCUGUUGGAAGGUUUCCAACAAUCCACAAACGACCACAACAACAUGGGAAGAUUGACAUGAUGUUGUAAGGAUUGCCUAAGGAAUUGAAUAAUCAAUGAAGAGAGGAAAGAUUGAAGGAUCUACCAUGGAUUCCAGAACAAUUAUAAGUGUUGAAUCAGAAGAUGACUCUCAAUUGAGAAACCUCAGUUAUUUUGCCUAGUCAGGUAUUGCCAUAAUAUCAACUGCUCAAAUAUCUUUGCCAAGAUUGACAUCCCACUGCCACUCAAGUUUGUCUACCAGCAUCUGCCAGAUUCUAGACUUAUUGCCUCGACUCCAUUAAAUCACAUGCAACCACCGUUUUCUAGGUGGUAUAAUCCAAACAAGAGAUGUGAUGUCAUGGUGGGGUCCUCAGCCAUUUCAAUUGAACAAUUGCAAGAAUCGAGUCUGGAAGUUGGUGAGCAAAAGACGAGAGGAAUCUGUGAAGGAGCUUGUCAUCGAUCAUUUUGUCGCCAGAACAUCCUCAGAAUGACGAGUGAUCGGAAUUGCUUGGCAAAACAGAGAUAUUGCCAAAGAGGCUGAUCUAAGAAGGGGUUAAACUGUCAAUCAUUUUUGUUAUGGAUUUUGCCAUCUUGCAUUUUGUUUUGGGGUCACAUCUCAUCCUUGAACGAAACAUGUCUUUCCUUUGUCUUCCUGAUGUUUUGAAAUCAAGAGAUGCUUCUUUCAAAGGGUAUUUUUACAAAAUAUUUUGAUCAAGCUCCAACAUGCGGUUAAGAUUAAUCAAUCCUGAAGAUUAAAAGUAUUUUGAUUGCAGAAAUAACUCGAUGCUUGAAAAUGACAUGAGGUGACCAAACAAUUUUGAACUCAUACCUCCUGAAACUGAACCACACAUCAUAUAACUAAGUUUUAGCAGUAUGCAUAACAACAUGUAGUGGAUUCAGUAGUUAUGGACUCGUGAAUCAUGACUCUUACAAGUCCAAAUCAUUACACUGGAUGAGGUCAAAAUUUAUCGGUUCUAACCGACCUUGCUUGAAACGAGAAAAGGCCAUCUUUGUUAUCCUUUCACAUUUCUUGAAAUAUUAUCCCUUGCAGUCCCAUUUUGAGCCUGGUAAAAUAUUUUCUUUCAAAAGGAAACCCUGACUAGGAUCACACCCCGCACUGGGGGCAAAUGAGAGAUAAUUUUGAAGACGAUGAUAGAAUUAAUGGAUAAAAAGAAGGGUAAGAUUGGAAGCCCAACAAUGAAAAAAAAAAGGAAAAAAAGAAACCAAGGAGUGAAGGGCAUCCAAGAAAACUUUGAGAAAGGCUAUGUAAAAGCAGAAAAAGUGGAAAUGAAGGAGAAUGCCUACCAAUUCUAAGAGGGGCAAAAGAAGUUUCAAUUGAAGAAAGACACAACGAAUGCCAAAAGUCAACAACAAAAAUUCAAGUUUCAUGUCUUUUGGCGUGUCUAGGAUAAAGCCUCUAGUGUCUUCAAAAAAAAAUUUAGAUUGGUUAUUCAUUAAAUAAAAAGUUGGAUUUGCAUUAUGACCUAUGUUAAGAGAAUUCUGAUCUUUUGAGGUUAACAAGGUUAUAUGUCACUUUCUCUACAAAGACAACAAGAGAAAGAGAAUUAAUGAAUAGUUAAUGGUGAUCCUAAGUCUUCGAAACCCUCAAACACUUUUGAGCCUAUGAAUUUCCUUUCUUUCAUAAGCCAUGCACCAUAGCCUGCAUUAAGUGCUUUUUAAAAGCCCUUUUUGAUCAAGUAAGCAAUCUGAACCGAUAAAUGACGAUCUUAAAACUUGAAGAGCCUUUCCAUAAGAGUCGUGGCUUCAUGGAUUAAGCUACUUGUUAUUAUGCAUGCUAAUAAAAUUGGUGCUAAAAAAAAGAAAACAAUCUUUCCUAAUGAAUCCUCAAGUUUUGACUUGAGCCUUUUGUUUCUUGAAAUUCACAUAAGGUCACCUCAUCGCAGACCAUCAAAAGAUAUACCCAAGAUCAAAGAUUAAAACUAAUACAAAGAACCAUGAAAAAGGUCAUUUUAAUCUUACAACGGGUCAUUUCUGUUUUCAAAAUACAAGACAGUAAAAAGAUUACAUUGAAUAGUGUGUGUUGGGUCUUUGACCAAAAAGCUUGAUUUUCAAAAAGAUCUUUUCCAAAACUGAUAUCUCUUUGAUUUCAUUUCAACAAUUAGACUUGAAUUGACAUGAUCUUUGAAAUAUGAGAGUUGAUUCCAGAACAAGAAAGAUUGUUAAACAACAAGAACAUCGACCGAAUUUGCAAAUUCCUUGACAAGAAUGACAUCAACAUUUCUCGACACUCCUUGAAAAGUUGACCACCUGGGGGCAAUACAGUGGAUCCUGAAAGGGAAACAAGCAGUAUUCAGAUUAGCUAGGGGGCAAUGAAAAAUGAUCAAAUGAUGAAUCAAUGCACUGAGAACAAUGGUGUUUAAAGAAAGCUAAUCAGCAGAACAAGCAUUCAGAUAAUUACUGGGGGCAAUGUUGUUCAAAGACAGUUAGUGAUUUAGUGAACUUCAGCAGCAAUUGAUGAGCAACGCUGCACUUGAAGGGCAUUUUUAUUAUCGUCAGCUAAAACAUGGCUAUGACUCCUAACAUAUGUUAUCAGGUGAGUGCAUUUGAAUGAACAUCGAAAGAUGCACACCACUAAGACUGACUGUGGGACCAUCUAUUCUGAAUCUCAAAUGCGCACUUCACCGCAUGAAUAUGGGUGAUGAACAUCAUUGAUGAUGCCAACGCAUUUCCGUUCAUGAUCUGAUUUGACAAACUGAGAGGAAUCCAUGGAGAAGAACAUUGAGCUUACAACAAAGAACUUUUCACUGCAAGCUAUGAGAUGCAUGUCUGGACGACUGGAUGAUUUCCAUGAAGACUGGUGAUAACAUUACUUGAAGAGUAUUGUUUCAGCUUGAGGCAAGUUUAUGACUGGUUGACAAUCAUGAUGGUAUUGGCACGAUGCGCACAAUCAAUGAGAGAACAAUUCUCAGGAUAAUACAGAGGAUGAAUGAUCGGUUAAGAUCUUCAUGAUGAAUCAAGCAACACCACACUAGGGGGUAGAGUCAAGCUUAAUAAACAACGAGAGCAGUAAUCAUCAUGGACAACCCAGGAUGGGCACUGCACUUACAGCUGAGUGGAUGACUAGCACAUGAAUGAGCCAAUGCAUCGAAAGAACAAAUAAAGCUUUGGAAUGCAAACAAAGGCACCCUGUGAUGAUGGAACAUCGAAGAGGGGGGACCUAUAUUUCGAAUCAGGUAAGGAUGCAUGCAUGUCAGCUAACGUUAAAACAUUGUACAUAUUUUUUAUUUUGUUGCAGGAAAAAUCCUCAAUGUAGUUUAGCAAGAUUGGGGACCAAAAAAAAAAGAGAGAAAAAAAGGGAGAAUCAUUGAGCUGAUAAUAACAGAGAAUCAUGGUUGUGACCUUGGAACGGGAAGAAGAUGAGAUAAGCCUUACUGUUAGGAAAAUCUCAAAGAAAUGAAAAGAUCAACCUUGCAAUCAGGAAGCAUCGAGUUUUCAAACCCUGCGAUCAAGAAUUAUCAAGAAGCACCAAGUUUUCUGGCCCUUCUUCUAUCAUCCCUUCAGGACUUCGCCAGGUAAGUCCCAUUUUUCACACUUGUCACAUCACAUCUUUCAUUUGGGUAGGUCACCCAUAACAAUGAGACCAUUUCAUAUUUUUUCUAUCCUCCACCUGGGUAGGUCACCCAUAACAAUGAGACCACUUCAUAUUUGUUCUAUCUUCCAUCUGGGUAGGUCACCCAUUACAAUGAGACCACUUCAUAUUUUUUCUAUCCUCCACCUGGGUAGGUCACCCAUAACAAUGAGACCACUUCAUAUUUUUUUUAUCUUCCAUCUGGGUAGGUCACCCAUUAUAAUGAGACCGCACAUCAUAUUUUUUCCAUCUGGGUAGGUCACCCAUAACAAUGAGACCACUUCAUAUUUUUUCUAUCUUCCAUCUGGGUAGGUCACCCAUUAUAAUGAGACCGCACAUCACAUUUUUUCCAUCUGGGUAGGUCACCCAUAACAAUGAGACCACUUCAUAUUUUUUCUAUCUUCCAUCUGGGUAGGUCACCCAUUAUAAUGAGGCCACACUUCACAUUCUUUCCAUUUGGGUAGGUCACCCAUCAUAAUGAGACCGUUUUCCAUAUUCUUUCCACCUGGGUAGGUCACCCAUUACAAUGGGAUCACUUUUUGCACAUUUUUUUAGUUUUGAUUUAAUGAGGUCGCCAGAUGGGAUCUCAUGUAGCUUUGGUUAAAGGGAAUUGCCAGAUGGGAUUUCAGGUUGACCGAGCUACACACAUUUUUUUAGUUUUGAUUUAAUGAGGUCGCCAGAUGGGAUCUCAUGUAGCUUUGGUUAAAGGGAAUCGCCAGACGGGAUUUCAGGUUAACCGAGCUACCACACAUUUUUUAGUUCCAGUUGAAUGAGGUCGCCAGAUGGGAUCUCAUGUAGCUUUGGUUAAAGGGAAUCGCCAGAUGGGAUUUCAGGUUAACCGAGCUACCACACAUUUUUUAGUUCCAGUUGAAUGAGGUCGCCAGAUGGGAUCUCAUGUAGCUUUGGUUAAAGGGAAUCGCCAGAUGGGAUUUCAGGUUGACCGAGCAACACACAUUUUUUAGUUCCACUUUAAUGAGGUCGCCAGAUGGGAUCUCAUGUAGCUUUGGUUAAAGGGAAUCGCUAGAUGGGAUUUCAGGUUGACCGAGCUACACACAUUUUUUAGUUUUGGUUUAAUGAGGUCGCCAGAUGGGAUCUCAUGUAGCUUUGGUUAAAGGGAAUCGCCAGAUGGGAUUUCAGGUUGACCGAGCUACACAUUUUUUUUAAGUUCCAGUUGAAUGAGGUCGCCAGAUGGAAUCUCAUGUAGCUUUGGUUAAAGGGAAUCGCCGGACGGGAUCUCAGGUUAGCCCAACCACACAGGAUAUUGGUUCUGGUUAAAGGGGAUCGCCGGACGGGAUCUCAGGUUAGCCCUACCACACAAGAUAUUGGUUCUGGUUAAAGGGGAUUGCCAGACGGGAUCUCAGGUUAGCCCAACCACACACACGAUAUUGGUUCUGGUUAAAGGGGAUCGCCAGACGGGAUCUCAGGUUAGCCCAACCACACACAGGAUAUUGGUUUUGGGAAAGGAGAUCGCCAGAUGGGAUCUCAAGAUCAAAAAAAAAAAGAGAGAGAGAAACAUAGAAAGAAAGAAAAAAGAAAAAAAAAGAAGGAAGAGAGAACAGAAAAAAAAAAAAAAAGAGCAAGGUCUUUAGAUGAGUGGAGAUUGAGCAAGUUAGGAAGACAAAAAGGCAAAUUUUUCUUUACAAAGCUUACUAUGCAAAACAUUGAGGAGUUUUGCUUCGUAAGCAUUGUAAAGAGGGGGCAUAUGUUGAUAACCAAUUUUUGACCCAUGUUUUGAUAAAUUUUCAGAAAAAUUCAAAAAUAGCGAAAAACAUUGAAAAUCCAAAAGAUACGUUUUUAAUACAUUUGCAUAGUUUUUAUCAUUUUUAGCAUCGUCUCAAAAGAAUUUAAAUUUUCAAGGAUAUUUGGAACGCGUUCAACUUUUAACGCAUCAUUUUUAAAAUCAUUGAUUUUCCACAUUGAGUCGAUUUUGAUAUUUGCUCGCUUUCAAAAAUACAAAAAAAAUAAGAAAAAUCAAAAUUUACAAAAAAAAAGAGGAAAAGAGAAGGAAAGGAAAAGUUGAGGGACUAAUUUGAAAACCUAGCAAAACUUUUCCUAUAAAUACCAGCUCUGAUUUUGUUCUUCUCUCCCAGCUGGUUCCACCAGCUGCUCCCCCCUCCCGGUCGUUGGUCCUCCUCCCAGCCAAAAACAAACCAAACAGCCCCUUUUGAUUUUCUCUCUUCUCCCUCAACCGGACAGCCUCUCCUCUCUCCCAGCCGCUGCCGCUCACUCUACAUCACAGCCGUUUCCUUCCACUACGGCAGCAACCGAGCAACAUCCCUCACGGACCCAGAUCGGUCCGCCGCUCCUUCCUCCUCUGCUCCUCCAGCCGCUCACAGCAGACGCCCAGCCAAGACCCUCUCCUCAAACAGAUCUUCACCACAGCUUCAACAGCCCCAGCUCGCCAAGAUCAAGCCGGCCGCCCCCUCACCAGGCUCCUCUCCUCUCUCAGGCGACCCAACGGCCUCCCUCUCCGGGUCAACGAACAAACCCGGCACAGUGGCGCCCACAGAACCCAAAUCGGUCCGCCUUCUUCCUCCAGCAGCGCCUGCACACCACCGCGGCCUAACACAGUGGCCUCCCCCUCACAACGGAUCUGCCAUCUGAAGAAAGAGAGAAGCAGAUCCGAAAGAGGAAGAAACAGAUCUAAGGAGAGAAACAGACUUGCUUGUUGCGUUUUGGGUGUUUUGUAGGUAACGGCGUUGUCACCACCAGCAGAGAAGGGAAGAGGAGAUGAAACUGAGCUAGAUCCAUCCGGCUUCCAAGUUUUGUGCGGCGGCGCGUGAACCCACGCGCCGCCAGUGACGGUGGCGUGUGGGAAGACGCGCCACCACUGUUCAUGUUGUUCCAGAAGGGCUUCCCAGCACUGUUAUGGAUUUUUGAGGGGUUAUUUUGUAAUUUUUAAAUUGAUUAAUGUAAUAUUUGUUUAGUUUGAAUUUUUAUUUGCAUGUUGUGAAUUUGGAUGUAACAAAAGAAAGGAAAAGAAAAGAAAAGAAACAAAAAUAUAGGAAGAGUGAAUGUGUGUGUUUGUAUUUGUUUUUAUUUUUUUAUAUAUAUUUUUUAUGAUGAAAUUGCAAAGAUUAAAGAAGAAUUUAAUAUUUUGAUUGGAUCACGGUAAAGAAUUAUUAACUUAUACGUAAGUUGUAUUUCUAAUAUCCGAU